AUUGAACGCUGGCGGCAGGCCUAACACAUGCAAGUCGAGCGAGUGGCGGACGGGUGAGUAAUGUAUGGGGACUGCCCGAUCGAGGGGGAUAACUACUGGAAACGGUGGCUAAUACCGCAUACUAUCGGAUAACCCAUAUGGGAUUAGCUAGUAGGGGGGGUAAAGGCUCACCUAGGCGACGAUGCCUAGCGGGUCUGAGAGGAUGAUCGGCCACACUGGGACUGAGACACGGCCCAAACUCCUACGGAGGCAGCAGGGGGGAAUAUUGCACAAUGGACGAAAGCCUGAUGCAGCAAUGCCGCGUGUAUGAAGAAGGCUUUCGGGUUGUAAAGUACUUUCAGUCGGGAGGCGUUACCUACAGAAAAAGCAACGGCUAACUACGUGCCAGCAGCCGCGGUAAUUC
This 403-nucleotide ribosomal RNA is filed under the name uncultured bacterium. Its description in RNAcentral is "partial 16S ribosomal RNA". It matches the Rfam family "Bacterial small subunit ribosomal RNA", at positions 30 to 526 of the family's 1533-position model. The record is from RNAcentral.